GCCAGGUGAGUGCACACUGCGACACUAUGAUGAGGCCAGGUGAGCGCACACUGGGACACUAUGAUGAGGCCAGGUGAGUGCACACUGGGGCACUAUGAUGAGGCCAGGUGAGCGCACACUGGGACACUAUGAUGAGGCCAGGUGAGCGCACAGUGGGACACUAUGAUGAGGCCAGGUGAGCGCACACUGGGACACUAUGAUGAGGCCGGGUGAGCACACACUGGGACACUUUGAUGAGGCCAGGUGAGUGCAUACUGGGACCCUAUGAUGAGGCCAGGUGAGUGCACACUGGGACACUAUGAUGAGGCUAGGUGAGCGGACACUGGGACACUAUGAUGAGGCUAGGUGAGCGCACACUGAGGCACUAUGAUGAGGCCGGGUGAGCGCACACUGGGGCACUAUGAUGAUGCCGGGUGAGCGCACAGUGGGACACUAUGAUGAGGCUAGGUGAGUGCACACUGGGACACUAUGAUGAGGCCAGGUGAGUGCACACUGUGGCACUAUGAUGAGGCUAGUUGAGUUCACACUGGGGCAUUAUGAUGAAGCUAGGUGAGCGCACACUGUGACAGUAAGAUGAGGCCAGGUGAGCGCACACUGGGACAGUAAGAUGAGGCCAGGUGAGCGCACACUGGGACACUAUGAUGAGGCUAGGUGAGUGCACCCUGGGGCACUAUGAUGAGGCCGGGUGAGUGCACACUGCGACACUAUGGUGAG
This 714-nucleotide long non-coding RNA is filed under the name Homo sapiens (human). Its description in RNAcentral is "HSALNT0115679". The record is from RNAcentral. Lineage: Eukaryota; Metazoa; Chordata; Mammalia; Primates; Hominidae.